AGUGAACGCUGGCGGUAGGCCUAACACAUGCAAGUCGAACGGAAGCACAGUAAGCGCUUGCUCUUACGGGUGGCGAGUGGCGGGCGGGUGAGGCAUACAUCGGCUUCUUCUUUUUCGUGGGUGAUAACGGGGGGCAACUUACGCUACUACCGCAUACGACCUACGGGAGGGAGCAGUGGAUCUUCGGGCCUUUCGCGAUACAUUGAGACGGUGCCGGAUUAGCUAGUUGGCGGGGUAAAGGCACACCAAGGCGACGAUACGUAGCUGGUCUGAGAGGAUGAUCAGCCACACUGGAACUGAGACACGGUCCAGACUCCUACGGGAGGCAGCAGUGGGGAAUAUUGGACAAUGGGCGCAAGCCUGAUCCAGCCAUACUGCGUGGGUGAAGAAGGCCUUCGGGUUGUAAAGCCCUUUUGUUGGGAAAGAAAAGCAGUAGGUGAAUCCCCCGCUGUUCUGACGGUACCCAAAGAAUAAGCAACGGCUAACUUCGUG
This 492-nucleotide ribosomal RNA is filed under the name uncultured bacterium. Its description in RNAcentral is "partial 16S ribosomal RNA". It matches the Rfam family "Bacterial small subunit ribosomal RNA", at positions 29 to 507 of the family's 1533-position model. The record is from RNAcentral.